CACCCUACGGGACGCAGCAGUGAGGAAUAUUGGUCAAUGGGCGCGAGCCUGAACCAGCCAAGUCGCGUGAGGGAAGACGGUCCUAUGGAUUGUAAACCUCUUUUGUCGGGGAGCAAAAGACGCCACGCGUGGCGUUCCGAGAGUACCCGAAGAAAAAGCAUCGGCUAACUCCGUGCCAGCAGCCGCGGUAAUACGGGGGAUCCGAGCUUUAUCCGGAUUUAUUGGGUUUAAAGGGGGCGUAGAU
This 244-nucleotide ribosomal RNA is filed under the name uncultured bacterium. RNAcentral's name for it is "partial 16S ribosomal RNA". It matches the Rfam family "Bacterial small subunit ribosomal RNA", at positions 335 to 576 of the family's 1533-position model. The record is from RNAcentral.